RNAcentral lists this long non-coding RNA (2961 nucleotides) under Mustela putorius furo (domestic ferret). Its description in RNAcentral is "lncRNA (ENSMPUG00000030927.1)". Lineage: Eukaryota; Metazoa; Chordata; Mammalia; Carnivora; Mustelidae. The record is from RNAcentral.
UUGUAUUUCGAACAGACUCUCAGGUACAUGUCUGCUGCUGUUCCAGGGACCAUAGUUGGAGAAUCACCGAUCUAAGGAAUUUAUUUCCUGAUGUUCCCUACACUGAAGUUCAUAAGAUAACAUCACUCUUUUCAUGAGAAAGUCUAUUAAUUUGGCUUCCUUGAGGCAUAGGCUAAAAAAAAAAAAUAGUCUUCUAUCAGAAAUUAUAUAGCAAUCCAUCUCCUGUACCAACUUUUCUAUUUUGUAAGAUUAUUGGUUAACUGUGGGCCAGUAAUCUGUAGCAUAAGCAUUUAAUGAGCUUGAGUUUGAUGGGAUCUUUCCCCUCAGGAGCAGAGCCAGAGUAAUUUUAUUUGGUAGCAACAGAAGAGAGCAUCAUUGACUUUGGAGCCUGUGAACCUGGUCAACCCAGCGGAUCAAGCCUGGUCCACUUGCUGGAUCGCUGGCCUUGAAUGUGGCCGGUGCUCGAUGGUUUUCCUUUGUGUAGACAAGUGUUUCAGUGGCAGCUGGAGAGAAGAUCUCACCAGUGUCACAGUGACCAUUGUAGUAAAGUAAGCCAAUCUCAUGAUAUCUGUGGUGUGUAUUUUCAAAUUUCUAGGUCCUUUUAUGCCCUGUGAGGCGGUUUUAAGAACGCUCUAUCCGGAAAGACCAGUGGUUCAAUAGCUUCCCAAGAAAUAAGAGAUAACUGUUGCAAUUGAUUUUUUUUUUCCCCUGAAGUGUUGCAUCUUUUAGAGUCAGGCCAGAGAUGACAUCCAUUGUAUUUGAGAGGGUCCUUUCUCUUCCUCUGCUCUAAUCCUGACUUCCUUCUGCUCCUCUCCACCAGUCACUAGAAAGCAUCAUCUCCUAAGACCGGCGUUCGUGUGAUGAUGGAGGCCUGUCUGUCCUUUCCGUGACUGGAGCAAUGCUGACCUCGGUUUCCUGGACCCAUUCCGACUCAGGGAGAAGAAAGUCAACAAAGGAAUUCCCAUUUGGCCAGCCUAGCCUGACAUCUGGGAAGAUCAUGGAGGAAAUUUUUCAUGUCAGAAACUGGGAGUUUGUUAAAAUGAUUGUCAGGGCUCCUGGCCGGCCCCGACGGUUGAGCAUCCAGCUCUGGGUUUCGGCUCAGGUUGUGAUCUCAGCGCCAUGACAUCGAGCCCCACACCGGGCUCUGUGCUCAGUGGGGAGUCUGCUUGAGAUACUCUCUGUCUUCCCCUGCUCCUACCUCUCCUCCCUGCACUCUCUCUUUCUCUAAUAAAUAAAUAAAUCUUUUAAAAAGUAAAAUAAAAUGAUUGUCUUCUCCUUCACCAGCCUUGAACAACAUUCUUUACAUCCUUCAGAAGAAUGGACUCGUCCCCGGAAGUAGCAUUGGCUUCUUUCUUCAGUAUGGUCCUUUCCAGGGACUGAACCAAGGGGUGGCUCGGGGCUCUAGUCCCCCCACACUCUGUCUCACACAGAUACAAGCCACUCGGACAGACCUUCACUGUGUUCAUUGUAGUACAGGUGCAGCACCCCAAGAAGCUCCCCAGCCAUCCCCUUCCUGGCCACUCCAUGCUACCUCGAAGCCCCUCCUACACAGACAUUCCAGAAUGGCCACAAUUCCUUAGUUUGCCCUUCUUGGCUCUUCCUUGUGGGCCGUCCUGGUGUUGACACCACUCUAUAGAUUUCAUUUUCCUCAGUGGGCCUCAGAAGGUUUCUUCUUGCAAAGAAAGAGCCCAGUGGGUGGGGGCCUCCAUCUGUCUGUGUGUUUGGCUGUCUAGAGGAAAGUUGUUCCUCACUCACCUGGCCCGGGGGCUCCGUUGUCUGUGCCUCCGUGCUUUCUGUGCUUCUGUUCGUCUCCCCCAGGCUCCCAGCCUGGGACAGAGUGCUGGGGUCUGGGCUUGUGUUGUCCACCUAACGAGUUCCUUCAUGGCCUUGGUGAUGUUGCCAAGGCCCCACAAGGAAUUUACAUGUACUCAAGAGAGACCCCUUUAGCCAUCAGAAUUCAGCUCUCUGGAAUAUAACCAGGAGUUAGGAAGAACUAAGAAAAGUCUCAGAGGACAAAAUACCUCUCUCCAAAGCUAAGCAUUAAACUUUAAGUAGAUCUUUGCUAGGUUUGUGUUUUGAGUGUGACCACACUCCCAAUUAACUCGGCUUUAUGAUUCUCUUUGCUUUUAUAGAUGAGAAAAACUGAAGCCCAAAGAGGCUAAAUAAUUUGCCUAAACUCUCCAAGCUAUGAGUGGUAGUACAGGUUCUUAGGACUCUAGACUUAGGAGGGUAAUCAGGUGUUCUGAAUGGUGGCAGCAAGAUAAGGAAAAGGGUUGAACUAUCUUUAACUCUUUCAUUUAGAAAGUAGUAGAAAGAUACAGAGUAAUUGCACGAUGGUUUCCUUCAGAACUUUUAUUUUUUUAAUUCUAGUGUGUGACAAGUAUCAGUUGGCUGAGAAAUCCCAGCUUGUGGAACUGUGCUUCCUGAUUCUGCCAAACGAAUGUGAAGUUACUAGAGUUCCCUUUGCUGAACAGCUAGUUCAUAGGCGCUUAUAAACUAUUUUUUGUAUCAUCAAGAGGAAGGAAGCCUCGGUUGUUCUGGGUCAUGGUGAUCAGCCUGGCUCUGGUGUGCACGGGCAGGAGACGGACAGCUUCUGGAAUGUCCCAGUGUCGGGAUAGACCCUUCCCCCAUGACUGAGGAUGGCUGCUUCCUGCAAGAAAGUUCCCUGCACGGGAGUGAAUGGUCACCAGCUCAUUGACAUUCACUGGCAUCCUUUGUUGGUGUUAAGCUUCACUGUUUUCAGAGUACUGUCCUGCACAUGAUCCCCUUGGUUUACAACACUCCUGUGUGUUAGGCAAAGCAGGCAGUGGUAUCCUUCCCAUCGUCCAGGUGAGGACAGCCAGGCUUGGAGGGAGGUGCACGUGGACGUGCUGCUGGGGAGAAGCAGGAGCCGAGCCCUUUGUCUAGAUCACCGAUUCAGAUCCUCCCGCCACUUGGAGCACCUGUGCCGUUCGUGCCCGG